AUUGAACGCUGGCGGCAGGCCUAACACAUGCAAGUCGAGAGGAGCGGCGGACGGGUGAGUAAUGCCUAGGAAUCUGCCUGGUCGUGGGGGAUAACGUCCGGAAACGGGCGCAAAUAACGCAUAAUAUCAGAUGAGCCUAGGUCGGAUUAGCUAGUUGGUGGGGUAAAGGCCUACCAAGGAGACGAUCCGUAACUGGUCUGAGCGGAUGAUCAGUCACACGGGAACUGUGACACGGUCCAGAGUCCUACGGGAGGCAGCGGUGGGGAAUAUAGGACAAUGGGCUAAAGCCUGAUCCAGCCAUGCCGCGUGUGUGAAGAAGGUCUUCGGAUUGUAAAGCACUUUAAGUUGGUAGGCGUUACCAACAGAAUAAGCACCGGCUAACUUCGUACCAGCAGGCGCGGUAAUAC
This 407-nucleotide ribosomal RNA is filed under the name uncultured bacterium. RNAcentral's name for it is "partial 16S ribosomal RNA". It matches the Rfam family "Bacterial small subunit ribosomal RNA", at positions 30 to 526 of the family's 1533-position model. The record is from RNAcentral.